This 1138-nucleotide long non-coding RNA is filed under the name Helianthus annuus (common sunflower). The record is from RNAcentral. Lineage: Eukaryota; Viridiplantae; Streptophyta; Magnoliopsida; Asterales; Asteraceae.
AUUCUUCAUCUUCUCCCAUACGACCUUCAUUCGCAUCUAGGGUUUCUGCUUCUUCCAUCAUACAUCUCCCUCUCAUCAUCCCUAAAUCUCAUUCGUGAACGAUCAUCAAUACCAAGGUUCACCAAGUCUGUUGUGAAUGACAUUUUGAUUAACAUGGCAAAAUCAGUUGCAUUUUGGCUAUGGACAUGAACAAGUUGGGGACAAGAAGCCCUUGAUCAAGCUUCAAAGAUAUUUUUGGACCCAUGCUAUUACCAGUGCCCUUUUUUCAUUUCGGAUGCUAGGUGAUGAGCUUGCAAAUGAUGGAGGGCAGGGAUCGAUUGGGAUGCUCUUGAGGUUGCUUUAAAACCUCAUACAAAAGCUAAACCAUGAUGAGGUGUAAAUGCUUAAUUAUUGUUAUUGUUAUUAAUGUAAUGGUGACACGAGGGUAACAAAAAAAGACGCACGGGUUUAAGAGAAAGAUAAACCAUCGGAAGGGGUGUACAAGGGUCCGCUAUAUGAAUAUUCCUGUGGAAACUAACGAUAAGAACCAAACAUGUGCUCUGCUGAAAACAAGGUUGGUAAAGGAGGGUGUUUAGAGGUUUAAUGAAGGGGUGUUUUGAGGAUGAUCAAGCAAUUGUUGUGAAAAGAUAGAUUAACACAGAUUUCAUGUAAUGAAAGGAAAGAGUUAUUGACAGAAAUAGGAACACUUGGUCAUGUUGAAAUCUCUCUCAGUCAAUCAUUCAAAACACAUCGGAUAUAUUAUGGAUAGUGAACAUAACAAUAUCAUCAAUAAGCAUGAGGAAGAACAACAUGUUGGUGACUAUGAUUAUAACUAUCAUCAUCAGAUCGUUGGAACAAAUCCGAUGCAUAGUACUUCUUCUUACGCUGGUUUCAUCCAACAAUAUUCAUCUUUACCUCCUCCAUCGAUGAUGAUAGCACCUCAAUCACAAAAUCAACAAAUUAUUACACCACCAGAUAUUCGUCAACAAGGUAAUUACAGUAGAUUGGAGUAAAAGAUGGAUGCGGCACUGAAAGGCAUCAAGAAGUGGCUUAUUUUAUUAAUUAAAUCAAAUUAAGAAAUAUCGUUUUUAUGAAAGCUACCUUUGUAAAACAUGGGUUUAUCCCAUCUAUUUAAUAAAUAAAAUCCGGUGUUUCUAAA